Molecule: ribosomal RNA, 338 nt
Filed under: Butea monosperma (flame-of-the-forest)
Lineage: Eukaryota; Viridiplantae; Streptophyta; Magnoliopsida; Fabales; Fabaceae
Description: eukaryotic LSU rRNA
Rfam family: Eukaryotic large subunit ribosomal RNA (bases 281-338)
Source: RNAcentral
GGAUCGAGUCUUUGACGCAGUUGCGCCCGAAGCCAUCUGAGGGCACGCCUGCCUGGGUGUCACACAUCGUUACCCUCACGCAAACGUCCCGAGUCGGCCGUUGCGUGGUAGGGUGUAUGCUGGCCUCCCGCGAGCGCCGUCUCGUGGUUGGUUGAAAAGCGGGUUCGUGGCCGAGCGCGCCGUGAUAGAAUGGUGGACGGGCAACGCUCGAGACCGAUCACGUGCGGCCCGGUCGGGUAAGGACCGUCCGACCCCCGUGCGUCCCUGGACGCUCCCGGCGAGACCUCAGGUCAGGCGGGACCACCCGCUGAGUUUAAGCAUAUCAAUAAGCGGAGGAA